UUAAGAUCCAAAUAGGACCAGCCACCACU
RNAcentral lists this non-coding RNA (29 nucleotides) under Mus musculus (house mouse). The record is from RNAcentral. Lineage: Eukaryota; Metazoa; Chordata; Mammalia; Rodentia; Muridae.